RNAcentral lists this long non-coding RNA (504 nucleotides) under Sorghum bicolor (sorghum). Its description in RNAcentral is "long non-coding RNA (SBIC_LNC006748)". The record is from RNAcentral. Lineage: Eukaryota; Viridiplantae; Streptophyta; Magnoliopsida; Poales; Poaceae.
UAGGAGACGCAGCUGACAGGCGGGGUCGUCCUGUCAGCGUCUCGCUGGAAGGAAGGGAGGGGGGGGGCUGACGAGCAGGCCCCGCUUGUCAGCGACCGCGCGGAGAGGAGGCGGAGUGCGCAGCGUCCGUGCGGGCCGAGCCGAAGCGGGCCGGCCUGCGGGCCGAAAUCCGGCCACCCGCUGCAGUGUCUUGUUUUUUUUUCUUUUAUGCAGUUUUUGUUUUAUAUUUGAAUUUGGGUAUUAAAUUGUGUGAUGAUCCAAAAAUAAUGAGAAUUUUUGUAUAAACUCUCUGAAAUAUGUAGGAUCCAAGAAAAAUACUAGGUUCUGAUUUCUAAUAGUUUGCAAGGAUACAAAAAUUGACCCUUUUAAUUAGCAAAUAAAACUUGUAUGAUUUUUAAUAAUUUAUUUGUAUGUCCAAAAAUCACCAAAAAUUGUGGGGAGCCUCUGAAUAUUAUUCCCUGGCUCCACACAAAAUUUGGUGGCAUUUGGAUUAUGUUUGAGUAA